AUUGAACGCUGGCGGCAUGCCUUACACAUGCAAGUCGAACGGCAGCACGGGAGCUUGCUCCUGGUGGCGAGUGGCGAACGGGUGAGUAAUACAUCGGAACGUACCCUGAAGUGGGGGAGUAACGUAGCGAAAGUUACGCUAAUACCGCAUAUUCUGUGAGCAGGAAAGAGGGGGAGUCGCAAGACCUCUUGCUUUAGGAGCGGCCGAUGUCGGAUUAGCUAGUUGGUGAGGUAAAGGACUCACCAAGGCGACGAUCCGUAGCGGGUCGUGAGAGGAUGAUCCGCCACACUGGGAC
RNAcentral lists this ribosomal RNA (295 nucleotides) under uncultured bacterium. RNAcentral describes it as "partial 16S ribosomal RNA". It matches the Rfam family "Bacterial small subunit ribosomal RNA", at positions 30 to 319 of the family's 1533-position model. The record is from RNAcentral.